CCUACGGGAGGCAGCAGUAGGGAAUUUUGCGCAAUGGGCGAAAGCCUGACGCAGCAACGCCGCGUGAUUGAUUAAGCCCUUCGGGGUGUAAAGAUCUGUCAGUGGGGACGAAACUUGACGGUACCCACAGAGGAAGCACCGGCUAACUCCGUGCCAGCAGCCGCGGUAAUACGGAGGGUGCAAGCGUUGUCCGGAAUCAUUGGGCGUAAAGAGUUCGUAGGCGGCCUGUUAAGUCAGCGGGAAAAGCCCGGGGCUCAACCCCGGCGAGCCGUUGAAACUGGCGGGCUGGAGUUGGAGAGAAGUACGCGGAAUGCGCGGUGUAGCGGUGAAAUGCUUAGAUAUCGCGCAGAACCCCGAUUGCGAAGGCAGCGUACCGGCUCCACACUGACGCUGAGGCACGAAAGCGUGGGUAUCGAACAGGAUUAGAUACCCCUGUAGUC
Molecule: ribosomal RNA, 440 nt
Filed under: uncultured bacterium
Lineage: Bacteria
Description: partial 16S ribosomal RNA
Rfam family: Bacterial small subunit ribosomal RNA
Source: RNAcentral